This 29-nucleotide small RNA is filed under the name Bombyx mori (domestic silkworm). Its description in RNAcentral is "ovarian small RNA-18823". The record is from RNAcentral. Lineage: Eukaryota; Metazoa; Arthropoda; Insecta; Lepidoptera; Bombycidae.
UAACGCAGCUCAAAACUGCAUUUCGAUAU